RNAcentral lists this long non-coding RNA (1086 nucleotides) under Equus caballus (horse). Its description in RNAcentral is "lncRNA (ENSECAG00000046908.1)". The record is from RNAcentral. Lineage: Eukaryota; Metazoa; Chordata; Mammalia; Perissodactyla; Equidae.
UCAUCCCAGGUUUUCAAAUUUUGAGAGUAAAAAAAGGGUCAACGCCAGACUUGAGAAACCACCAAUAUUGGUGACCAUUCCCCGACAAAUUCUAAAAGAGAACAUCUAAAGAUGGCUUUUAUGAACUUUGAAAAUAAAAUGAUGAUUGCAAGUUACUAUGGGCUCACUAGGAAUUAUCAUAAACUAACCCAGCAUGCUGUCUGGCACAGAGUAGACAAUAACGAUGUAUUGAACAGAUGAACUUCAAAUCUACUUUUAAGGCAACUAUCCCAUUGAUAAAUGACUGUAACUUCAGAAAGUUCUGCCUUAAAUACAGCAGUUUGCCUCUCUAACUUCUAACCAUUACCCUCACUCUGACCUCAAAACCUACAGAAUAAGUCAACUCUCCCAGGUGACAGUUGCACAACUAUUUGGAGACUUCCGUAUGUGCUCUCAUGGUCUUUUUAUUUUCCCCCGUGGGUAAAUAUUCCCAGGGCCUUCAAUUCCUCUCUGUGGGACAGAGUGUCAAGCUUCUCACCACUUGGCCGACCUUCUCUGAGAUCUCUCUGCUUGGUCGAAGUUGCUCUCCACAGUUUCAGGUCCACAAUGUUCCCAAUGAGCUCCAACCAGCAGCAUUCAGUAGAAUUAUCACUCCCCAGCUCUGAUUGUAUUUCAGCUUUCUUCAUUUCUGCCUCUUUACUCCAAUUGUGAUGUGGAUGCACAUAUCCAAGCUGAAACCUGAAAAAAGGGGGAGGGCUGUGGGGGAGAGAAUGGAACAUUCCAAAAUUAGAAACCAGUCCCUAGCAAAUGAGAACUAAUUUUGUGGCGAGUUGAUCCAAGAGAAGGACUGGCACAGGCGCUCUGACGGACGACAAACAUCUAUUGAGCACUGCCUAUGUGCCAAGCACCACGCUAAAUGCUGUGGGUACGGUGAGUACCAAGAGAUGGUACCAUCCUCCCUCUUGAAGCUUGGCCUCUGGUAGGCAAUUAAAUGAAGAAAUAUGGAAUAACAAAUUAAGACAAGUUCUACUGUUACGAAGAAAUCUCUGUUUCGCUGGCUUCAGGUUUCCAUGAGGGGACAUUUGCUAGAGAAACACUUCUUUCUCC